This 224-nucleotide ribosomal RNA is filed under the name uncultured bacterium. RNAcentral describes it as "partial 16S ribosomal RNA". It matches the Rfam family "Bacterial small subunit ribosomal RNA", at positions 15 to 231 of the family's 1533-position model. The record is from RNAcentral.
GAUAUGGCUCAGGAUGAACGCUAGCUACAGGCUUAACACAUGCAAGUCGAGGGGCAGCAUGGUCUUAGCUUGCUAAGGCCGAUGGCGACCGGCGCACGGGUGAGUAACACGUAUCCAACCUGCCGUCUACUCUUGGACAGCCUUCUGAAAGGAAGAUUAAUACAAGAUGGCAUCAUGAGUCCGCAUGUUCACAUGAUUGAAGGUAUUCCGGUAGACGAUGGGGA